GAGCCAGGGUGGCUUCCCUCCGAACCAGAGGGUAAAGAGCCACCCUCUCAGCCUGAGUGGGCAGGGUCAGACCAAGCUUACUCCAACUCCCGGAAGGGGAGGGGUGGAACAGGAAGUACAAGGGGUGGGGCCCUUUGCCCAGUGAGAGCAGCACCAGAGAGGGAGACAGACACAGGCUGCUGGCUGUUCCCUCCGGACCCUGCUGCUGACCCAGGGGAGGCCCUGGGCCAGGAGAAACCUGACCUGGAGGAAGGACUGAGGCAACCAGGACUGCCAGCUGCCGAGUACCUGGAGGGGCCAGGCUGUAACCCGGGCCAGCGUGAGCCUGACACAAAGGGGGAGCUGGAGCUGCCAGCAGCUGAAUACCCGGAUGAGCUGGAGGGACUGGAGAGGCCCGCUUGAGAGACCGGGAUCCCAAUGAAGGCAUCAUUCUACCAUGUUUCACUUGAUGUCAGAAUCGACUUCCACCUCCAGGUGGAAUCUUUAUGGGGUGAUUAAAGACUGGAAGAGUUAUGCAGAGGGUUUUAUUAUAAAGCCAGAAAUCAUUUGGUUGACAUUAAUGGGAAAGUCUAUCUUUUGGAGAGGUCCACAUUCCUGGAUGCUAUUUCCUGCUCUCAAGGUUCUCUAAUGCAAUGAACCUAAAUAUAUGAACUCUCCAGAGUCUAACAUCAGACUUUUGUUUGGACCUUCAGCUCACUUGCACCAGCCUGACAGGAGAGAUGGGAAUUACUUUUCUUCUCUCAUGCUUCAGAAACGUGUAUAUGAGAUGAGUUGCCUAAGGGCUACAUUCUUUUUAAAUACUAGUGCUAAGUGUUUUAGAUAGAGGUGCUCCUGUUUUAUUUAACAGUAUUUGUGCCAUUCAGCUUCGAAAUGUAUUGUGUUAAUCAGAUGUCACCGUGUUUUUCCCUAAAUUCCAAAGGAAUUUAAAAAAAAAAACAAAUGAUACGUUGUUUAAAUACAGAAUCUUGCUAUUCUCGCCCCUCAGGGGAAGGAAACGUGCCUGUUGUAGCAGCAACAGGAGGCAAUUACCUCUUGCACCCUGGCCAGUCACUGC
Molecule: long non-coding RNA, 1054 nt
Organism: Chelonia mydas (Green sea turtle)
Lineage: Eukaryota; Metazoa; Chordata; Testudines; Cheloniidae
Exons: 3
Source: RefSeq, a predicted model, not a curated record